This 699-nucleotide ribosomal RNA is filed under the name uncultured bacterium. RNAcentral's name for it is "bacterial SSU rRNA". It matches the Rfam family "Bacterial small subunit ribosomal RNA", at positions 20 to 724 of the family's 1533-position model. The record is from RNAcentral.
UGGCUCAGAAUGAACGUUGGCGGCAUGGAUUAGGCAUGCAAGUCGAGCGAGAAGGGUUUUGAAGCUUGCUUUGAAACCCGGAAAGCGGCGCAAGGGAGAGUAACGAGUAGUUAUCUACCCCAAGGCCCGGAAUAGCUGCGGGAAACUGCAGGUAAUGCCGGAUAAUAUCCCCGGAUCAAAGGUGUGAUUCCGCCUUGGAAGGAGACUGCUUUGUACUAGCUUGUUGGUAGGGUAAUGGCCUACCAAGGCUACGAUGCAUAGCGGGCGUGAGAGCGUGGCCCGUCUCACUGGGACUGAAACACUGCCCAGACACCUACGGGUGGCUGCAGUCGAGAAUCUUCGGCAAUGGGCGAAAGCCUGACCGAGCGAUGCCGCGUGCGGGAUGAAGGCCCUCGGGUUGUAAACCGCUGUCGUAGAGGAGAAAGGUCUGAUGAAGAAUCAGAUUUGAUCUAUUCUAGGAGGAAGUCCGGGCUAAGUUCGUGCCAGCAGCCGCGGUAACACGAACCGGACAAACGUUAUUCGGAAUUAUUGGGCUUAAAGGGUGCGUAGGCGGUGCGGUAAGUGCGGUGUGAAAGCCCUCGGCUCAACCGAGGAAUUGCGCUGCAUACUGCCGUGCUGGAGGGAGACAGAGGUAAGCGGAACUGAUGGUGGAGCGGUGAAAUGCGUUGAUAUCAUCAGGAACACCGGUGGCGAAAGCGG